This 447-nucleotide ribosomal RNA is filed under the name uncultured bacterium. RNAcentral describes it as "partial 16S ribosomal RNA". It matches the Rfam family "Bacterial small subunit ribosomal RNA", at positions 29 to 523 of the family's 1533-position model. The record is from RNAcentral.
AGCGAACGCUGGCGGCAGGCUUAACACAUGCAAGUCGAACGCCCCGCAAGGGGAGUGGCAGACGGGUGAGUAACACGUGGGAACGUACCCUUUGGUUCGGAAUAACUUGGGGAAACUCAAGCUAAUACCGGAUAAGCCCUUAUGGGGAAAGGUUUACUGCCGAAGGAUCGGCCCGCGUCUGAUUAGCUAGUUGGUGAGGUAACGGCUCACCAAGGCGACGAUCAGUAGCUGGUCUGAGCGGAUGAUCAGCCACACUGGGACUGAGACACGGCCCAGACUCCUACGGGAGGCAGCAGUGGGGAAUAUUGGACAAUGGGGGCAACCCUGAUCCAGCCAUGCCGCGUGAGUGAUGAAGGCCUUAGGGUUGUAAAGCUCUUUUACCCGGGACGAUAAUGACUGUACCGGGAGAAUAAGCCCCAGCUAACUUCGUGCCAGCCGCCGCUGUAA